UGUGCAAGCAAAGGGGCUUGAAUUUGGAUGCCCAGCACCCAUGUGAUAGCCCGGCCUGCACCUUUGUAAGCCCAGUGCUGUGGAUACAGAGUCAGGGAGAUCCUGGAGCUGGUCAGACAGUCCUGCUGAACUGGUGACUUUCAGACUCAGUGAGAGAAUCUGGUUCAAUGGAAAAGGGCAGUGUCCACAGAGGCCAGAAUGGGAUGUCGGCUUCCCCGGCACUGGAGUCACAAGUGGUUGUGAACCGCAGUGCAUGGGUACUGGGAACAAAACUAUGGUCCUCUACAAGACCAGCGAGUGCUCUUAACCACUAAGCCACUUCUCUUUCCCCCAUUUCUGGGAGUUUUAAGUAUAGUGAACCCAGCAGAAAAGGAGAGGGACAUGGCAGCCACUGAGAAGGCCAGGACUCACAGCUAUGGAACGGACGGGACAUGCCAGUCUGCGCUGAUCACCCAGGGAAGCACCAGAGAAGGAAGACCUUGCUGGAACUACAGAAAGUGAACUGGCGGCUCCAAGCAUGCUUCCCACCUAGGAUUCUCAGAUGGAGGUGCCACGGUGUGAAGACCCACCCAACUUGAAGAGCGAAAAUACUGACCUGCUCAUUUAAAACACAAGCAAACUCUGACAGGCCACAGGCCUCUGGAAGGGGAAUUUGCCUUCCAGAGCCCAACUAUUCUCUGCUCUGACUCGUGCAGAAGGAGCAAAUGGUGCCCUGGGCACACUCGUCCACACAUCAGCCUGCAAUUGCCAGUAAAUCACCGCUGCAGUAGCUACUAGCAUCCAUAAAGCCUUUUGAGUUUUACAAGGUGUUUAUAAUGGGUAACUCACUAUGAUUUAGAUGGAAAACAUGAGUCAGCUCCUGAGACAAAGCUGAUAUGGGGACACUGGCCUUGUGGGAUGACCUCUAGCAAGCAUCCAAAUAAAUCACAGUCUCCCUCUGGGCCAAAGCUG
This is a non-coding RNA of Myodes glareolus (Bank vole), 951 nucleotides long. NCBI's taxonomy places the organism in Eukaryota, Metazoa, Chordata, Mammalia, Rodentia, Cricetidae. The record is from RefSeq and is a predicted model, not a curated record.